This 77-nucleotide transfer RNA is filed under the name Eubacteriales Family XIII. Incertae Sedis bacterium. Its description in RNAcentral is "tRNA-Thr". It matches the Rfam family "tRNA". From Rfam's summary of the family: Transfer RNA (tRNA) molecules are approximately 80 nucleotides in length. Their secondary structure includes four short double-helical elements and three loops (D, anti-codon, and T loops). Further hydrogen bonds mediate the characteristic L-shaped molecular structure. tRNAs have two regions of fundamental functional importance: the anti-codon, which is responsible for specific mRNA codon recognition, and the 3' end, to which the tRNAs corresponding amino acid is attached (by aminoacyl-tRNA synthetases). tRNAs cope with the degeneracy of the genetic code in two manners: having more than one tRNA (with a specific anti-codon) for a particular amino acid; and 'wobble' base-pairing, i.e. permitting non-standard base-pairing at the 3rd anti-codon position. The record is from RNAcentral. Lineage: Bacteria; Bacillati; Bacillota; Clostridia; Peptostreptococcales; Anaerovoracaceae.
GCUACCAUAGCUCAGUAGGUACGAGCACGUCCUUGGUAAGGACGGGGUCCCCGGUUCGAAUCCGGGUGGUAGCUCCA